Molecule: unclassified non-coding RNA, 2247 nt
Filed under: Penaeus japonicus
Lineage: Eukaryota; Metazoa; Arthropoda; Malacostraca; Decapoda; Penaeidae
Description: nudC domain-containing protein 1-like, transcript variant X1
Source: RNAcentral
UCUUUCCUCCGAAGACCUUCCAAAACGACAGUCUUACACGAACGCCUUUGUUUACAUCGUGUGUUCGAGGACAGCGCCUGACGUGGCUCCAGAACGCGUACCGGCGGUAGAACUAAUAAUACCAGGAAUUAGAAGAUAUAGGGUGAUUGAGAGAGGAUUUAGGGGUGUGCCAUGGCCAAAUCUAUCUCCUUAAAACCCAAGCGUGAAUUGUUAAACCCCAACUUUGACGGAUAUAAGUUGUCACUGGAUGGAGAUGUGACAGUGUACUCACAAAAUGUCAAUGAAGCCUUGGAGCCAAAGAAGAGCAACACCAGCUGCUAUCUCCGAACACGAAUAGAAGCCUUGCAUAAUCAUCUCUUUAAGGAUCCUUUUCACACAAACCAUGUGUAUUACUUCACCAGCAGAGGUCAUCUUAUCAAGCAUCAGUACUCAAAGGAUUCAAAGCUUAGUAGCAGCGAAGUAGUAUGGCAGGCAGACAUGUCCGAGUUGAGUGAGGAGGAGGCUGAAGGUGACAGAUACUUUGCAAGUCUUCACUUCCCCUCUGACGAUCUGGCUGUUGUUACAAAUGGAAGGGGAAGUCUGCAUAUACUAGAAACUGGCAAUAGAACUACUACACAAAGCUGGCUGGAAUGUCUCCAAACAAACAUGGAACGAGGGGUCAUAACACAGUCAUACAUAGCAGAUGGAGAGGACUACCAACGCCACCUCCACUGCCUCUUGGUAUCAGUGACAACACAGCAGGAACUUGUCAGUAAUGAGCAGUAUGUUAUUUUGGAUGAAGGACUGAAGAGUGCAAAGGAUGUGGCUGUUCAUCUCCUUCAUUGGCUUGUCAUUACAUACAAUGGUGCAACUUGGGAGACAGGACGAGUUAGAAGGCUAGCAGGAAGAGGCACCAUAGAAUACUGCUCCUUCGACACCACAGCCUCAGGCCUUAUCGUCUUGUGCCACAGCAACUAUUCCUUUGUGGAAGACUCACUUAGUCCCAUCACAGCACCUAAGACCAAGGAGAAGGAGGAGGAAAAGAAAUUGCCAAAAUAUACUUACAUGCAGAAUGAUGAGGACAUUAUUGUAUACUUAAAUGUUGGGCAAAUCACAAGGGAAGACCUGAAAGUGACAGUCCAGCCAAAGGAGCUCUGUAUCAAGAUCAAGGACUCGAUAGUUCUUGAAGGACACUUCACUGACCUUAUAUCAUCAGACAUGGUCACUUGGACAAUAAGGGAUACUACACUUGAGUUGACACUACCCAAGUCUUCAGAAGGGGUUAGAUGGAAGAAGCUUUUGGAAGAGGAUAAUGUAAGCGGAGAGGAAGUUUUUGAUCCACAGUUGAUAGAAGAGGUUAAUCAGAGGCUUGCACACCUCACAUCUGAUAAAUUGGAUGAUAAUCCAGACCUCGACAAACCGGCUUACAACCCAGAGCAGUUGGAGGAUUGUGAUGAGGCUCAGGAAGACUUGCUCCUCCUGCACUUAGAUGGGAACUCACACAAGACAGAUUCCCUGGGACAACUGGGAGCAACGCAGCACCUCUUCAAUUCUCAGGUUCAAGGUUCAGUUCUCCCAGCCUUCUGCAUUCGAAGUGAUGUUGAUGGCAUUCUAUGGCUACCUGAGGCAGACAGCUAUACCCAUGUUGCAACUUUCAAUGCUUUUGGCUAUGUGAAAGCUUCAAAAACUAUGGCCAAAUUUACCUGUGCUUCUGCUGACAACUCCUACGUGGCUAUCGCAGAUGUGAAGAGCCACAUUUACGUGUUCUUCCAGUCAGAAGCAUACAGUGGAGAAUUACGCAAUCGCAAAUCCGGCAAAAGAAUGAACACUGUAGCACGGCAGUUGGUGAUCUCAAUGAAGACUCAUGAUGAAAUACUAGGGCUUCACUGUGAUACUGAUGUGCUGUUUGUGCUAACAGAGAAGACACUUUAUGCUUAUGCCUUGCGUAGUUAGUUAUUAUGAUGCCAUGUUUAUAAUAUUGAAAUGUCUGUCUGGUUUGUCAGAUGUGAAAAGUUUCUUUUCGUGUAACAUACAUGGACUGUAGACCUAAAAUAUGUAUGUGAAAUAUUGUUUAUUAAGAAAGUAAAAGUGUUUGUGCAAGGAAAGGAAGACCAUGUGAUGUGGUUUCAAUUGUAUGAGAAAUCAUUCCAUUUAAGAGUAAUUUAUACAAUAACAAGAUUUGUUUACUAAUUUCAAGAAUUACUGUGAAUUCUGGCUUCUUGUAAAUUUGAUAACAUGUUCACCAACAAAUAAAUGUGUGCAUGGAUA